Molecule: ribosomal RNA, 413 nt
Filed under: Neocapritermes talpa
Lineage: Eukaryota; Metazoa; Arthropoda; Insecta; Blattodea; Termitidae
Description: partial 12S ribosomal RNA
Source: RNAcentral
CCCUAUUAUUUUUGAAUGUUAAUUGUUUUAUAUGCUUGAGUAGUAUUAGCUAUGUUCUUGAAACUUAAAGAAUUUGGCGGUAUCUCAUUCCUUCCAGAGGAAUCUGUCUCGUUAUCGAUAGUCCGCGUUGGACCUUACUUAUAAUUUAUUGGUUUGUAUACCGCCGUUUAUUGAUUAUCUUUUUAGAGUUUUUAAUUUUCUGGUUUCUUUAUUUUGAUUUAUUUCAGGUCAAGGUGCAGCUUGUUUUUAAGUGGAUGAUGGAUUACAUUGUAAUUUGUUUUUGGAUUGUUGAUUUUAAUAUUGAUAUGAAAUUGGAUUUGGUUGUAAUUGUUUGUAGAUUGUUAUUGUGAUAAGUGGUUCUGGGAUAUGUACACAUCGCCCGUCGCUCUCGUUUAUUUCUAAUGAGAUAAGUC